AGUGAACGCUGGCGGUAGGCCUAACACAUGCAAGUCGAACGGCAGCACAGUAAGAGCUUGCUCUUACGGGUGGCGAGUGGCGGACGGGUGAGGAAUACAUCGGAAUCUACUUUUUCGUGGGGGAUAACGUAGGGAAACUUACGCUAAUACCGCAUACGACCUCCGGGUGAAAGCAGGGGAUCUUCGGACCUUGCGCGAUUGAAUGAGCCGAUGUCGGAUUAGCUAGUUGGCGGGGUAAAGGCCCACUAAGGCGACGAUCCGUAGCUGGUCUGAGAGGAUGAUCAGCCACACUGGAACUGAGACACGGUCCAGACUCCUACGGGAGGCAGCAGUGGGGAAUAUUGGACAAUGGGCGCAAGCCUGAUCCAGCCAUACCGCGUGGGUGAAGAAGGCCUUCGGGUUGUAAAGCCCUUUUGUUGGGAAAGAAAAGCAGCAGGUUAAUACCCCGCUGUUCUGACGGUACCCAAAGAAUAAGCACCGGCUAACUUCGUG
Molecule: ribosomal RNA, 492 nt
Filed under: uncultured bacterium
Lineage: Bacteria
Description: partial 16S ribosomal RNA
Rfam family: Bacterial small subunit ribosomal RNA
Source: RNAcentral